GCUUGAAAUAUCGGUUCUCGUACGAUCACUGAAUUUAAGCAACAUCGAGCCUGGUCAGUACCUCGAUGGGGGACCGCUUGGAAAUACAGGUGCUGUAA
Molecule: non-coding RNA, 98 nt
Organism: Acanthosepion pharaonis
Lineage: Eukaryota; Metazoa; Mollusca; Cephalopoda; Sepiida; Sepiidae
Source: the annotation of a GenBank genome assembly